GAUGAACGCUGGCGGCGUGCUUAACACAUGCAAGUCGAACGGUGAAGGCGGAGCUUGCUCUGCUGGAUCAGUGGCGAACGGGUGAGUAACACGUGAGCAAUCUGCCCCUGACUCUGGGAUAAGCGCUGGAAACGGCGUCUAAUACUGGAUACGAGCUGCGAAGGCAUCUUCAGCAGCUGGAAAGAACUUCGGUCAGGGAUGAGCUCGCGGCCUAUCAGCUUGUUGGUGAGGUAACGGCUCACCAAGGCGUCGACGGAUAGCCGGCCUGAGAGGGUGACCGGCCACACUGGGACUGAGACACGGCCCAGACUCCUACGGGAGGCAGCAGUGGGGAAUAUUGCACAAUGGGCGAAAGCCUGAUGCAGCAACGCCGCGUGAGGGACGACGGCCUUCGGGUUGUAAACCUCUUUUAGCAGGGAAGAAGCGAAAGUGACGGUACCUGCAGAAAAAGCGCCGGCUAACUACGUG
Molecule: ribosomal RNA, 468 nt
Filed under: uncultured bacterium
Lineage: Bacteria
Description: partial 16S ribosomal RNA
Rfam family: Bacterial small subunit ribosomal RNA
Source: RNAcentral